AGUGAACGCUGGCGGUAGGCCUAACACAUGCAAGUCGAACGGCAGCACAGUAAGAGCUUGCUCUUACGGGUGGCGAGUGGCGGACGGGUGCGGGAUACAUCGGACUCUACUUUUUCGUGGGGGCUAACGAAGGGAAACUUACGCUAAUACCGCAUACGACCUACGGGUGAAAGCAGGGGAUCUUCGGACCUUGCGCGAUUGAAUGCGCCGAUGUCGGAGUAGCUAGUUGGCGUGGUAACGGCCCACCACGGCGACGAUGCGUAGCUGGUUAGGGAGGAUGAGCAGCCACACUGGAACUGUGAAACGGUGCAGACUCCUACAGUAGGAAGCGGGGGGGAAGAAAGGACUAUUGCCGCAAGCCUGAUCCAGUCAUGCCGCGUGGGUGAAGGAGGCCUUCAGGUUUUAAAGCCCUAUUGUUGGGAAAGAAGAGCAGCAGGUCAAUACCCCGCUGUUCUGACGGUACCCAAAGAAUAAGCCCCGGCUAACUUCGUG
RNAcentral lists this ribosomal RNA (492 nucleotides) under uncultured bacterium. RNAcentral's name for it is "partial 16S ribosomal RNA". It matches the Rfam family "Bacterial small subunit ribosomal RNA", at positions 29 to 507 of the family's 1533-position model. The record is from RNAcentral.